RNA transcript from Equus quagga, 2738 nucleotides. RefSeq lists it as uncharacterized. The transcript has 3 exons. Lineage: Eukaryota; Metazoa; Chordata; Mammalia; Perissodactyla; Equidae. The record is from RefSeq and is a predicted model, not a curated record.
CAGCUGUGACAGCACGAAUCACGCUAAUGGCGGGAGGUGGCCGUUCUUCUUCUUUGUGGCCUGAGGACAGGAACACAAACACCUCCAUGCAAAGAGGCUUGAGAAUCUUUGGAGUGGAAUUCAUGGGGAGCACGAGGAGUCGUCGGAGGUGAAAUGUGCAGGACACCCGAGGUCACUGUCUGAGACUCAGCAUUCCCUUCUGGGAAAUGGCACAGCAGCUUUCCUGUCCAACCAAGUUCCAUCUGCUAUAGCCAACCAAAUCACAAACCUAAGUCAUGGGCCUGGAGGCUGCGUGGACGUGGUCCUGCCUGCACGGAGUGCCAGUCCAGAAGGAAGACACGCUUCAAGCAGCAGUCCAUGCCUGGGUUUUGGAUUCUGGAUUCCUCUUCCCUGGCCCUGCAGUGCUAGACCAGAGAGGGAGAAGAGGCUCAUCCAUUGGUGAGGGGCAGGGGGUCCUCAGUUUGGGCCUGGACACUAAGGUCACCCUGGGUAGGUUCUGAGAGUCCAUCUUGCCUAGAGGAUCCCACCAGCUCGUCACUUUCCCUCAGCUCGAACACUGCCAGCGAUGGGGAGCUCACUCCAGUAUUGCAUCAUCACAGCCACGGGAACUAAGGACUCCCUCACACGAGGCCACGUUCUGCCUCCUUCUCACGUCCCCUGAUGGGCCUAAGUCCUUUCCUCCGCAGCGCAGAGGGAGCCCGGCUUGGUGCUGGACGGGCCUCGGCUAGAUCUUGGCUUUGCCACCAGCGGUGCCAACUCAGGCAGGUCCCACCAAGCCGGUUUCAUGUGUAGAACGGGGGUACCACCAUAGAGGGUCAUGAGUUCUGAACGAGUUGGUACAUGUGAAGGCCUCAGCCCAGUGUUAGCUGCUUUUCUUUAUUACUAUUUUGAUCAUCAGUUUGACUGCUCUUUACGUGUCAUUUCCAGAGUGCUCACCUCCCACAUGACCCUUGUCAGAGCACAGUCCAGCUCAUUUGUGCCCUGAGGGAAGAGCCAGGCCCCACCAGCCCACAGGACCCUCUCCCUUCGUCUGGACGUCAGCUUUCCUGGAAAGAAGGAAGCCAGGCCGUGUGGUUGGUGUGCGGUAGAGAACUUUGGCGAUGCACAGCCUGGGCUCCUUUCCUAGCUCCGCCAUCUCCCAGCUCUAUGUCCCUAGACCAGUGACAGAUUUAUCAUCUGUAAAAUGUGAAUACCCUCCCUGCCUCAGAGACAAUGCUGGAUUACCAGGAAGAAAAACGUGGGUACUUAGAGUCCAGCAAAGUAGAACCAUUUUAUACAUAUGCUAGAGGUGAUAACUAUCAUUCUCUAUUAUUAACAAUUAUUAUGAGAAAAAUCAGAACUUCCCCCUCAGACUUCCUUACACUUAUCUUUAGUUUAAUGUCUUAUUUUUAAUAACGACUGUAGGGAGGUACCCACAAUCUUUUGCACGCCUGGGGCCUCUAAGGCUCUCCAUCUGGCCGUGCUCUGACUUGCCGCAAGGCCUGCAAAUCCCUGGCCCAUAAACGUGUUCCAUGAGUAGUGGUCGUUAGCUUAUUUACAACGUCUAAGUGUGACCUGACUUUUUAACCACCAUGAUCGCUGGGUUGACAGUGCUGAGUCUGACCUCAAUGACAAGUCUCAGCCUUUUCAAAGACCAGGGGGACUGAGGGUAGAAAGAACAGGUGCAGAAGUAGGACAGGUACCACGGUGUCCCUGGGGCGGCCAGGGAGCGGCUGGACCCGCCAAGUCCCUCAGGACCCACGCCCUGCAAUUCCGCAGCUCUAAACAACUCACAGAACCUAGACAGACUCUGUGAAGAUUUCUCGAGACCCUAAGACGAUCCAGGCAUUCUUACGUUAGAAUGAGACACAGUCUUUGCCCUCGAGCAACUGUCUCACAAUAAAGACACACAAAACACGUAGAGGUGGGGGUUGCACACCAGCGACCUCCAAGGGAAUUGGCCCACAGCUGCGUUUGGCCAAGUUACUUUUUAAAAAACUGAAUUGGAGGGGCUGGCCUGGUAGCCUAGUGGCUAGGGUCGUGCACUCCGCUUUGGAAACCUGGGAUCCACAGUCUGGACCCAGACCUACACGCUGCUCAUCAGCCACACUGUGGUGGUGUCCCACAUACAAAACAGAGGAAGAUUGGCACAGAUGUUAGCUCAGGGCCAAUCUUCCUCACCAAAAAAAACUCCAAAAAACUAAAUUGGAAUGUCUUUGGGCAGGCACUCUAGGUGACCCCAGCCGCUAUGCCCCAUCUAUUGUGUCACUACAGCUGAUUCACAAAUGGCCAUUAUCCACCUGGUCCCUGCCAUUUGGAUGCGAGGUACAGAAUACUAAAUGUGAAGAUAAAGGCAGGAACUAGUGUGACCAGAGCACAGAAAAGAAGGGACUCAUUCUACCUGAAGUCCAGGAAGGCUUCACAGAAGACAGGGUAUUUGGGUUUGGAGAAAGAUAAUAGGAUAAGGGCUUGGUUCAUAACCUAAGUGACCCCCCAUGCCCCUCUUGUCAAGUCCUUAGGUAGCAGCUCCAGAACUGACUAAAGGAAGAGGUUGAAUCUUUCAUUUCAGGCCGGCGAGCCCUCCGUCAAGCCACUGUGACUCGCUUCUCUCCAGGACAUGCAUAAGGGACAGAGAUGAGGAGCAAAGGCGCGGGAGCCGUUGUGGCUGCCUGACCAACGCGACACGGACAGAGCAGCAAGGACCCCUGCUCUCCCUGCCACCCCUCCCCGAGCACUGGGCCCAACAGGACGGGUCCCCU